UUGUGGAGGAGGACGCCGAAGGUGGGGCUAAUGACUGGGGUGAAGUCGUAACAAGGUAGCCGUACCGGAAGGUGCGGCUGGAUCACCUCCUAACAGGGAGACAACAAAAUGUAAAUAUUAAUUUUGUCACCUUAGGUCGAUCGGUAUCUCAGAUUCUUAUUUUAAGAAUUUCAGUUUCUAAGUUUUUUCUAGGUCACACCCAUCACUUUUUCCUGGGCCAUUAGCUCAGGUGGUUAGAGCGCACCCCUGAUAAGGGUGAGGUCCCUGGUUCAAGUCCAGGAUGGCCCAUAUCUCUAUGUUGGGGGUAUAGCUCAGUUGGUAGAGCGCCUGCUUUGCAAGCAAGAUGUCAGCGGUUCGAGUCCGCUUACCUCCACUGAAUACCACCUCUUACAUAUAUUUAAAGUGGGAAAUAGUUUUGAUUUGUGUCCUAAUUUGCUCUGAGCGAAUCUAGCUUCCUAUUUAUUCGAUAAAUAAGAUGCUGGACUCAUUGAAUUUUUAUUCCUUGUUUUCAGAGAACCUUGACAACUGCAUAGAUUAUUUUUUAAAGACAAUAAGCAUCUUUAAUGAUGCAGAUUUAUUAUUUGUGCGAAUGCAUUAAAUAACAAUUCUAUUAAGCUGAUGCUUCAAUUAUGAAGUUAUUGGUCAAGCUACAA
Molecule: unclassified non-coding RNA, 653 nt
Filed under: uncultured Prochlorococcus sp.
Lineage: Bacteria; Bacillati; Cyanobacteriota; Cyanophyceae; Synechococcales; Prochlorococcaceae
Description: partial 16S-23S ribosomal RNA intergenic spacer; may also contain 16S ribosomal RNA and 23S ribosomal RNA
Rfam family: Bacterial small subunit ribosomal RNA (bases 1-93)
Source: RNAcentral